CUUCUACAAAAACAAGAGAAGAAGAAGAGUAAGUUAUUAUUUUUAUUUAGAACCUGUGGAUAUUCAGCCACAGUCGGAUUAUGAGUGAGAACCUUCUACAACAACAGGAACAAGAGGACAGAAGAAGAAGCUUGUAGACAUUUAGCCACAGUCCGAUUAAAAGUCAGAGCCUUCUACGGAAACAAGAGGACAGAAGAAUAAGCCUGCAGAUAUUUAGCCACAGUCUGCUUUUGAGUCAGUGCCUUCUACAAAAGCAAGAGGACGAAAGACGAAGCCUGUAGAUAUUCAGUCACAGUCUGAUUUUGAGUCAGAGCCUUCUAUGAAAACAGGAAUAAGAGGCCGAA
Molecule: long non-coding RNA, 344 nt
Organism: Amphimedon queenslandica
Lineage: Eukaryota; Metazoa; Porifera; Demospongiae; Haplosclerida; Niphatidae
Exons: 4
Source: RefSeq, a predicted model, not a curated record